UACGGAGGGGACUAGCGUUGUUCGGAAUUACUGGGCGUAAAGCGCACGUAGGCGGAUUUGUAAGUCAGGGGUGAAAUCCCGGGGCUCAACCUCGGAACUGCCUUUGAUACUGCAAAUCUCGAGUCCGGAAGAGGUGAGUGGAAUUCCUAGUGUAGAGGUGAAAUUCGUAGAUAUUAGGAAGAACACCAGUGGCGAAGGCGGCUCACUGGUCCGGUACUGACGCUGAGGUGCGAAAGCGUGGGGAGCGAACAGG
Molecule: ribosomal RNA, 253 nt
Filed under: uncultured bacterium
Lineage: Bacteria
Description: partial 16S ribosomal RNA
Rfam family: Bacterial small subunit ribosomal RNA
Source: RNAcentral